GGGACUGGGAGGCAGAGCCAGAGACCCGUAAGCGGAGCCGGGAGCCGAACCCCUACGAGCUUGCCCAGUAGGGAGCUCAGGAUCCCCAAGAUUGGACAGGCAAAUAAGCUUAGUGACAGUCCCACCAGUCUUCCCGAGAGUCAUGAUUUCAUUGGGGAUGCUACCUGAUCUCUCUUCAGCCUCAGUUUCCUCACCUGGACAGUGGAGCUGAACCCACUCCCCACUAUCUGACCCUGCUCUCUGGGCUGUCCUUCGGGAACCCGCCCUGCUCAGGCCUGCUCCCCACCCUCCAUGGCUGUCAGCCCCCCAGGAGAAGAAUGUCUGCCAUACGGAGGCUGCUGGCAGCAAAGGGAGAUGAACAAGCCAAGGUUGCCCGGCCUGCACGCUGGCCCAGGGCUGCUGCUGUGUCUUGCCAUCAACCCUCCCGACACCCAGCAUGCCUGCCUCGUCCAGAAGCACUCCUACGUCAGGCCUCUGAGGGGGAGCGCUUCAUGCCACUUUAUCAAAAGGGGAAACCAUCAAAGCAGAAAGGCCAAUGCCACACUAGACAGCCAGGAGCCCAGUAGAACAAGUGGCCCCGAAAGGCGCUUUGGGGACCACACCCCGCUACUGACCCCAGCACAGUCUGGUUCCCAGGGCUUCAGGAUCCUCCUGGGGACCUCUCAGCAUGAUUAACACAGGCAGACGGGACCUGAAGGGGCUGCUGGUCCUUCUGAAAAUGUUCACCAGGUAGUGUGAGUGUGGGGAGGCCAUGAACAAUGUGUGGGACUCUGCCCUGCACCCGCUCAGAGCCUCAGCCCUUCAGAGCCACUAACAAUGAUUUGCUGUGGGUGGGGUCACCCUGAUACUUCUCUGAGGUCGCUUUUUCUUUCAGUUUUUCUGAGUAACUGAGAGGAUCACUUGACUGCAUGCCACCUAAACUAGGGUGUGCACAGCCUGCGUUCUGUGCAAGGAGGGUGCAAAGCAGCAGAGUGUCUGUGACCCAUAUGCCACCUAAUGUUACUACAAGAUUUGCAAGAACUGGUCAUUUAACAGUAACAAUUUUUAUUUAAAAAGAUAAAAGAGAGCUUUGCAGGAAACUGCUGUAGGCUCCCACGUUGCUGGGCAGACGACAACCUGGGCGUCUCGCCCAGCUCCUCCCCACAGCCAUUGGCAUCCACUGUCAGGUUUCAAUAUUCUUGGACCUCAGGGCCUUUGUCCUCUCCAAUCUAAAUGCAGAAAGACACUUGACAUGGACUCUCUCAGGUGUUUUGCAAAAUGCAACACAUCUCAUUAACUCUGGUCACUCUGCUGUGCACUAGAUGUCAAAAUCUCUUCCUCCUCCCUGAGACUUUAGUCCUUUAACUGACAACCCCCCCAUUCCCUCCCUCUGCCGCUCUCUGACCCCCGGUCACCAUCGAUCUACUUGCUACCUCUAUGGGGUCAACUUGUUAAGAUCAACACUUCUGGGACCUCACGUGGAACUGGUCUCUCUGAGGUGGUGGAGAUGCUAAGUAGCAGGAUUUCCUCAUUCCACAGCGUACACAUUUAUCCAAUCCUCACAUUGUACCCCGUGAAUGAAUACAAGCAUGAUCUGCCAAUUGAAACAAUAC
RNAcentral lists this long non-coding RNA (1592 nucleotides) under Pongo abelii (Sumatran orangutan). RNAcentral's name for it is "lincRNA". The record is from RNAcentral. Lineage: Eukaryota; Metazoa; Chordata; Mammalia; Primates; Hominidae.